RNAcentral lists this transfer RNA (67 nucleotides) under Tetrastichus howardi. RNAcentral describes it as "tRNA-Leu". Lineage: Eukaryota; Metazoa; Arthropoda; Insecta; Hymenoptera; Eulophidae. The record is from RNAcentral.
UCUAAUAUGGCAGAUUAGUGCAAUAGAUUUAAAUUCUAUAUAUAUAUUAAUAUUAAUAUUAUUAGAA